UUUUAAAGGCAUAUUACAUAAAAAGAAGCAAUUUGGAGCCUUUUGGAGCAAAAUGGAGAUUGGAUUGGAUAUCACAUAUUUGGGGCCAAGGGUUUGGACGAAAAUGAAGAUUUGAAGAUGAUGAUUCCUACUUGAGCAAGGAUUCCUAGUUGAAGUAGGAAAGAGCCAAAUUGAAGAUGAAAUCCUAGUCCAAGAAGGUGUCCUAAUUAAUCAAGGAUUCCUAGUUGAAGAUGGAUUCCUAGACGAAUGAAGUUUCCUACUCAAACAAGGUUUCCUACUUGAAGUGGGAAAGUGAACCCUAAUUGGCCUUGAUUUUCAGCAACAAAGAAGUAUGCCGUGCAUUUUCCCUUGUUUUGGAGGGUUUCUAGAAACCCUAUCCUUCCUUGCCGUGCAUAACCUUAUCUAGAACCUAUUUCCUUGCCUGCAAGGCUUUCUAGAAGCCUUAUCUUACCUUAUCUAAACCUGCCGCACCUAGGAGGUCUUUUCCCCUUUUAAAUCUGAUUUUUAAGCCUCUUUCCUUGUGGAUUUGGGUUAUUCAAGUCCAUAUCUGAUUUACCUAGGGUUUUUAAGUGCCUAUAAAUACUCAUAAACCCCCUUGGCCGAAUUCACCACCUCUCACAUUCAUAAUUCACUCCACAAAAUCAGAAAUUUGCCCAAACCUCUCCACACCUUUGCCGCAGCCACCAAACACCCUUCUUCCUAGUUUUUAAGUUCUUGCCGCACCAUCCCCUUCCCCUAAACACUACUACAUCCUUCCAUAACCAUUCAUCCAUACACCUAAGGCCCUAAACCUGUCUUCUAAGUACUUUGCCGCACCAAGGAGGAGGAGAAGGAAGCUUGGAAGUUCAUGCAAUUCAAGUUCGCGUCGCUGGAAUUUCUAGGUGUUUCUUUUCCUUUGAUUUCAAUGUUUAAAUUCAAUUCUCUUUGUUUUGUGUGUAUGAGGAACUAAACCCCCCCUUGGCUAGGGGGGGAUUCGAAAUACAUGAUUAUGCUUGCGAUAUGAUUUGAUUACUUCUAAUUGCGUUUCAUAAGUCGUGGAUUCAAUUUACUUAUCUUUAUGAAUUAAAACUUGAUUUGUGUAUGUUGGUUGAGAGUGCACGCUUAAUUUUCAUGCAUGAAUUUGAAUGCUAGGAUAUAAGGAAAUUUCACCUAAUCGUUAUGGAACUUAUAUUCACAAGUAGUAAAGGUUGAUGAUCUCAAUCGCGUUAAGUAAAUUCUUGGCAUAAGUUUCAUGCAAUCAUAGUAACAAGUGCUUCGUCAAUGCUUAUGGUUUUCAUAGAACUUAAUGAUUCUUGCUUGUAUCUCUAUUAUGCAAUCAUGUAGGGACUUGUGGGGAAUGUUUUGGGUUGUCGUAUGCAAUCAUCCAAUUCAAUAACGUUAGGAAAAUCUGAAGGUUAAUUUAAGCGGACCUAAUUAACUUGGGGCGUUGAGAAUUCAUGGUUUAUUGAAAAGCAAUUGGAAAUCGUUUUGAAUGCAAGUAUAACAUGUGUGGAGAUGAACCCCUUAGCUAGCCUUCCAUUCCAUUCCAUUUAAAUCAAAUUCGUUUUUAAAAUCUGUUCUAAUUUACAAAGUUUUGUUUUUGUUUUCAAAUUCGUCCAAAACCAAUCCCCCUUUGUUUUUGAAGUGUCAAAUUAGUUAGUAAGUGUUUAGUUUGUGUUUUUAAGUGUUUUGAGUCAAGUUAAAACCUAAUUUUUCGUCCAAUUUGUGUCUAGUGUUCCAAAACUGCCCAGAUUGUGUUUUUAAGGCAGUUUUGAGUGUUUUGGUGCUGUUUUGAGUCUUUUGGUUUGUUUUGGUGUUUUAAAGUUUAGUUUUGCAUUCUUUGAGUCUAGUUUAGUGUUUUAAACUUGUUUUUACGUAUUUGAGUCAGUUUUCAAGUGAUUUUGCAAUCCCUCCUAAUCCCCGGCCUAGAACGAUCCCUACUUACAUACUUACUACAAUUGAUAAAAAGAGGGUUAAUUUGAGUGCUAGUAUAUUUUCACAUCAAAUUUUGGCGCCGUUGCCGGGGAUUAGCAAUUUGCUAAUCCCUUGGAUUGUUAUUUUUUUUCUUAUUUGAUCAGAUUCUUAUGUUAUUUUGUUUCUUGUUUUAGGUACUUGUUUAUGACUCGGAGUUCUAAUCCGGUUCACGAACAUAUUUUAGACUUUGACGACGAUUUUGAGCGUGAGUUGAGACGAAAGAGGAAGAACCCGGAACCUAGUGAAUCAAGUGCAAGUUCCGAGUCCGUUUCUGAAUUUGAAAGAGGAAGUGGAAGACAUGGCAGCGGACAACCGAACGAUCAAGGAGCUUUCCGCUUCGGGAUUGGAUAAUGCCGCACCUCUAUGUAUCCAAUACCCUAGGGCGGCUCCGGACAAAACUGCCGAGUUCGAAUUGAAGUCAAGCUUGUUACAUCACAUUCCGAAGUACCAUGGGCUGUCCAUGGAAGAUCCGAACAAGCACUUGAAGGAGUUUGAAGUCGUUUGCUCAAGCAUGACUCCGGUGAACGUGGAUGAGAGCAUCUUGAAGAUGAAGGCCUUUCCCUUUUCUCUCCUAGGAAAGGCGAAAGAUUGGUUGUACGAAUUGGCUCCCGGAACUGUCACAUCAUUGGGAAGAGCAUGAAACGAGCUUUCUUAGAGAAGUUUUUUCCCAACUUCUCGAGUCAUCCUCCUACGAAAAAGGAUAAGUGGCAAUUCAACAAGAUGAAGGUGAAUCCUUUCCUACUUAUUAUGAACGUUUUAAAUCUCUUGUUGCUUCAUGUCCACAGCAUCAAAUGAAGGAGGAGCUACUUCUACAAUACUUCUACGAGGGACUUCUACCAAUUGAACGUCAAAUGCUAGAUGCCUCAGCGGGAGGAGCAUUGGUGGACAAGACCCCUACGGCGGCAAAGAUGUUGAUUGCUAAUCGAGCGUUGAACGCUCAACAAUACGAAGGUGUUGGACAAAGGAGCAUGCCACGGCAACAUCAAGUCAAUGAGGUAAGUGCCAUAACCGAACUUCAAAUCAAAUGGCUAACCUUACUACGUUGCUUUCUCAGGUGGUGGAAGGUCCAAAAGUCAAAACCCUAGCUUCUUGUGGCGUAUGCUCCAUACAAAACCACCAUACGGAAAAAGUGCCCACAUUUAAUCGAGAAUGGAGGGUGGGAGACACUUAAUGCCGUGGGAUAUGGCAACCAAUACCAAUCACGUGGUGAUCCGUUUUCCAAUACUUACAAUCCCGGUUGGAGUGAUCAUCAGAAUUUCAAAUGGCGAGACCCCCAACAAGGCCAACAACAAAGCGGAUUUAGGCAACAACCCCCCGGUUUCUAUCAAAAGCCGUUGGCACCACCACAAGCCCAAGCACAACCUGCCCAAAGCAAUGCAGGUAAUUCAAGUGAUAAUGAUAAGAUUUUUCAAUUACUUACUACUUUGACGCAGGAAGUCCAAACUCAAAACAAAGAGAGGCAAAUCCAAGACAAGAGGGUGGACAACUUGGAGAAGCAAGUGGGACAAAUUGCCGAGUUCAUGGGGGCAAUUUCGUGAGCAAGGAAGGUUGCCUAGCUCAACGGUGGUAAAUCCGAGGGGGAGUUCGAAAUUGCCAAAGCUAUCACGCUAAGAAGUGGGAAAGAAGUAGGAACCGAGCCAAAACCAUCCAAAUCUUGCCCUCAAGGAGGAUGAGAAGUAGUUGCAAAUAGAAGAGGAGGAGCAAGCAAAGGCCACGGCAAGGAUUGAGCAAUCCUUGCCGCAACCACCCAAGCCAUCUAAUUCGGCCAAUAAGGGUAAGGAAGGUACAAUUCAAGUUAAUUCUAAUGUUAUUCCUUCGGAUGUACCAUUUCCUAGCAGAUUUUUGCAAGCCAAGAACGAAGAUGAGGAGAAAGACGUUCUCGAGACGUUUAGGAAGGUGCAAGUCAAUAUCCCACUCCUUGAUGCUAUAAAGCAAAUCCCGAAGUAUGCCAAGUUUUUGAAGAAGCUUUGUACAACAAGGAAACGGAUACAGGAGAAGGAGGUGGUACACGUAAGUGAGAAUGUAUCUGCAUUGUUGCAAAAGAAAGUUACCACCUAAAUGCAAAAGAUCCAGGGUAGUUUCACUAUCCCUUGUGUUAUUGGCAAUACGAGGUUUGAUCAUGCUAUGUUAGAUUUAGGUGCAUCUAUAAAUGUCAUGCCAUAUUCUGUUUAUGCAUCUAUGAAUCUAGGAAAGCUUAAAAAUGAUGGUGUUAUUAUUCAAUUAGCCGAUCGAUCUAAUGCAUAUCCCAAAGGAGUGUUGGAAGAUGUGUUGGUGCAGGUAGACCAUUUGAUUUUUCCUGCAGAUUUCUAUGUGCUUGAUAUGGAGGACUCAACCCACUCUCCACCAUCACCACUCUUGCUUGGACGACCAUUCAUGAAAACGGCUCAAACCAAGAUUGACGUGGCCAAGGGAGCAGUAACUAUGGCUUUUGGUGGUGAUAUGAUUAACUUUAAGAUUUCUGAAUCGGUAGAGAAUACUAAUGAUGUUCGUUCUUGUUGUGCUAUUAAUGUAAUUGAAAAUAUAGGGCAGGAAUGUUCAACACUAGUCAAGAAGAAUGUACCACAACCCACCAUCGAGGAAGGAAUUGGAGUGAACAACAAAGAGUGCACGGCCCCAACCUUGAAAUCAUCAAAUCUGCCCGAGUGCAACCCUUGUGCAUAUGUCCAUAGUGCUACCACUUCUUUGCCAUACAAAGGUAAGCCACCUAUUCCAAUUUCAAUUCCCAUUUCAACUAAUAGGUUGUUAACUUGUAUGGUACAGGUACCUAAUCGAAGACAACGUGGUGGGAGAGUUCAUGUUGAUUUAGAGAAGCAAAACAUGACAAUAAGAAAGGAUCAUUAUCCCAUCCCAUUCAAGGACCCAAAGAAUGAAGUAUUUCGUAGGACAGGUUGUGGAAAAACCCCUCCAUGCCGUGGGGUUCCAUAAACCUUCAAUGGAGCAUCGUCCGGCUGUACGAUGUUAAAGCAAGCGCUACUUGGGAGGCAACCCAUGCAUUCAACAAAGGAAGACCGAAGAGCACUCCAAUUCCAGAUUUGCGUUCCUAAACCCUUCUCUUUGUUGUUUAUUUCAUUCAUGCCAUGUUAGAUUGUUAGUUGCUAUUUUGUGGUUUGUUUGUUAAUUGUGUUAGUUUAUGCUUGAAACAUUGAGGACAAUGUUUGAUUUAAGUGUGGGGGGGUAACCAAAGUAUUUUAACCAAAGUAUUUUCUUGCAAAUUCGUAGGGUUUUCUCACUCAUGAUUUCUAAAUGUUGUUCCUUGCUGUUUUUAAGUGUUUUUAAGGUGUUUUGAUUCAAAAAUCCGAAAAUCCCAUAAAAAUUUGAAAAAAUUGAUUUUAAAAAACCCAAAAAGAGUUGUUUUUGUGUGUUUGCUUGUGUCUUAGGGUACCUUCCAACACAAUGAUGAGGAUUCGGUUUGUAAUUGCAUGAUUGUUAAAGAGAGUUAUAAACAUGGAUAAAAGUUUGAUUUACUCUUUGGUUUAUGCUUGGUUGUGGUUAUAACUUAUGCAUUCACAUGUAAUCAUAAGGAAAAAAAUUAGUUUUUGUAACAUGCUUGAAGGAAGGAACUCAAACAAACGCUACAACCUUGUGAGACUUGAGCCUAAACGUUUAUUUGGAGAGUUAAAAUCUGUGCAUUCUUGUUUUCUAAAGUCGUUGCAUGAUCUCAUUAUUCUUUGCUUGGUUACUACUUAGAAGGCGUUUCAUCAUUUAGUUCCAAAUGCACUAGAACUCAUGCCAAUUUCAUUCAAAACAUGUUAUUGAAUUGCAUAACACAUAUUCAAGAUGAAGUUGUUUAGUAGUUACCACCAUAGCCAAAAAGCCUUCAUUCCAUGCAUUUUUUUGUAGGUUUUUAACCCCGUUGAGCCUUGUUUAGCCUAUGUUGUUUGUUAACCCACAUUAUCCUUACCUAGCCUAGAUUAGGACCAUCCAUACCUUUGUUCUUGAAGCAUAGUAAAGAAUGACUCAAAAUGAAUUCCUUUUGGUCAUUAUUGGCAGAAAACAAGUGUGGGGGAAGUGAGUUUUUGUUUGUGGGUGUGCCAAAGUCUUGAAUGAGGCACGAAAAGAAAAAAAAAAAAUGAAAUUCGUGGAAAAAGAAAAAGAAAAGAAAAAUGUGAAAAGUAUGAAAAAAAAGAGUUGAAAAGAUGUGAAAAAAAGAGUUCUAAAGUGUUGAUUGUUGAAGAAAAGGUCCAAAAAGUUGAAUUCGGCCCUAAUUGUUGUUGAAUCUUCCCUUUGUGUUUAAAAGUUAAUUUCUGCAUGCUAAUGGGAAUUCUAUGAGUUUCGAUUUCAUUGUUUUGCUUACUAUUGCUUUAAGAACGUUUGUUUUCCCUAUCCUUUCGUUGUUAGCCAACUCCCCUAAGCCCCGUUACAACCCUUGACUUCUAAUCUUGAGUGUUGUGUGUUUCAAUUUGUGGAGUUUGAAUUUGGUAUGAGCAUAUGGUGUCACUGGUUCUCGCAUCUAAGUAGUAGCAUUCCAUUCAUGAGAUCAUAUCUAAACAUGUUAUUUAACUCCGGAAAAUUGCUUUCUUUGUUAUACAUAUAUGUGAGCAUUCGUUUUCAUAUUUACAUCAAUCUUCUCACAUAUAACUAGUAUAGGGUGUGUAGUUAGAAAAUCUGAGUGAAAAUUGAGUGCAUAUCUUGUAAGGAAUUGAGCAAAUUUCUCUAAGGCAUGUUACUACAUUCAAAAUCAUGUUUUAAUUGGUUAAAUGUGAACUAGUAAGUGGUGACUAUGAUUAAGUAUGUGCUUAAGUGUGAAAGAUGACUAAAAUCUGUGGGAAUGAUGAUUUUUAACAUGUCAUGUGCAUUGGAAAUCCCUGAGGCGAAAUGUUGGAAGGUUUAGGUUGUGUUUUACUUGUUUUUUGCUUCGUUUGUUUCUUUGUUUCGUUUUGUUUUGCUCGAGGACUAGCAAAAAGCUAAGUGUGGGGGAAUUUGAUAGGAGCAUAUUUAUGCGCCUUAGUUUAGCUUGUUCUUGUGCAUUUAUAGUGUUUUUCCUUAGUAAAGUAGUCUUUAAGCUAGUUUCGUGUGUUUUCAGGUUUUAAAGGCAAAGUACAAAAAAGAUGCAAUUUGGAGCCUUUUGGAGCAAAAUGGAGCUUGGAAUGGAUGUCACAUAUUUGGAACCAAGGGUUGGACGAAAAUGAAGAUUUGAAGAGAUGAUUUCCUACUUGAGCAAGGAUUCCUAGUUUGAAGUAGGAAAGAGCCAAAUUGAAGAUGAAAUCCUAGUCCAAGAAGGUGUCCUAAUCAAUCAAGGAUUCCUAGUUGAAGAUGGAUUCCUAGACGAAUGAAGUUUCCUACUCAAACAAGGUUUCCUACUUGAAGUGGGAAAGUGAACCCCUAAUUGGCCUUGAUUUUCAGCAACAAAGAAAGUAUUGCGUGCAUUUUCCCCUUGUUUUGGAGGUUUCUAGAAACCCUAAUCCUUCCUUGCCGUGCUAAACCUUAUCUAGAACCUAUUUCCUUGCCUUGCAAGGCUUUCUAGAAGCCUUAUCUUACCUUAUCUAAACCUGCCGCACCUA
This 7454-nucleotide long non-coding RNA is filed under the name Malus domestica (apple). RNAcentral describes it as "long non-coding RNA (MDOM_LNC018494)". Lineage: Eukaryota; Viridiplantae; Streptophyta; Magnoliopsida; Rosales; Rosaceae. The record is from RNAcentral.